RNAcentral lists this ribosomal RNA (460 nucleotides) under uncultured bacterium. RNAcentral's name for it is "partial 16S ribosomal RNA". It matches the Rfam family "Bacterial small subunit ribosomal RNA", at positions 338 to 795 of the family's 1533-position model. The record is from RNAcentral.
CCUACGGGUGGCAGCAGUGAGGAUUAUUGGUCAAUGGGCGCGAGCCUGAACCAGCCAAGUAGCGUGAAGGAUGAGUGCCCUACGGGUUGUAAACUUCUUUUAUAAAGGAAUAAAGUGAGGCACGUGUGCCUUUUUGUAUGUACUUUAUGAAUAAGGAACGGCUAACUCCGUGCCAGCAGCCGCGGUAAUACGGAGGAUCCGAGCGUUAUUCGGAUUUAUUGGGUUUAAAGGGAGCGUAGAUGGGUUGUUAAGUCAGUUGUGAACGUUUGCGGCUCAAUCUUAAAAUUGCAAUUGAUACUGGCAGCCUAGAGUACAGUAGAGGUAGGCGGAAUUCGUGGUGUAGCGGUGAAAUGCUUAGAUAUCACGAAGAACCCCAAUUGCGAAGGCAGCUUACUAAACUGACACUGACGUUGAUGCUCGAAAGUGUGGGUAUCAAACAGGAUUAGAUACCCGUGUAGUC